CCCCCCCUCAAAUUUGUGCAGCAUAUCUUUCGCUCAAGAUUCUUUUAGAGGAUCUCUCCAAACUACAUCAGAAGACCUUGGCAUUGGUCUCUCAGCAGACAAAAAGGAUACCAACAAAAUCCAAAAAUCUGGUCAAACACAGGGUAAGGAGGAAAUGCUGGUCCAAGGAGAAUACUGAAAUCUGGUAGCUCAAUCACUUAAUCCUGCCAUUCCACACCAUGAGUGUCCUCUCUGGAUGCAUAAGAAGCGCACAGGAUUUGUUUUUUUUUUUUAUAGUAGAAACAUCAUUAUAGAUCUGUCGGAUUGCUACUGUAGAUUCCUUAUUUUACGUGAAUGAAUAAUUCCUUGAUACAAAUGUUUUGUAUCGAAUUGCUAGAUUAUUAAACCACAACCAUCAAAGUAAAAUGUAAACGAGAUUAUAAAAUCCAGGAGUGUUUAAUAAGGAAUCUGCAGUAUACUUGUAAGGAGAAGUAAUACAGUAAAACUCAUUUAGUACGAAAACGGAUAUAGCGAAUUCUCGGGUAUAGCAAAGUUUUUUUUAGUCCUUGGUUAAAUUCUUAUCAAAUCUUUGCAAAAUUUUACGGUUAUAACAAAUUUGGAUACAACAAAUAUACGGAUAAAGCGAACUGAUUUUGAGUCCUGUAGAGGUGAAUAAUAACGAAAUUUAACACUUUUAUAACGAAUUUCUUUUCAAGUUAAAAAGUUUUUACUACCAUUUAGCAUAGUAGUUUGAAUAAAUUGAUUUUCAUAUUAAUUUUUCAAUGCGCAAUCCGAUUAUUAAAGGUAUCAAAGUAAUGUAUUUUUAUUUAAGCCUCAAUUAGCAAAAAUUAUAGUCUGGUGAAAGAAAACAUGUAUAUAGUGAAUUCGCUAUAGUUAUUAUAUGAUUACAAAUUUGUUUUACGGAUAUAAUGUAAUCCGAGAUUCCUCUGACUUUCACCUCAAUUUUGACGUGCAUCACAAUAUUAAAGCGGGCUUUAGAGUCCGAGGAUCUCGGAAUAUUUUGGAAUUACGGAUAUAACGAAGUAAAUCCAUUGAUCCCUAGGAUUUCGCUAUAACCGAGUUUUACAGUACAAACUUUUUAAACAACAUUCCCUGGAAUUGUGUUCAAGAAGGCUAUUCUGAUAGGAAGGGAUAUGCAGGAGGGGGAUAGGAAUUCAAACAUAUCUGUUGACAUAUUCCUCAUGCAUAUAUUUUGAAUUUUAUUUAACUUAUUGUAAAGAAUGUGGUAGUAUGAUAUAAUGAGAGAAAUUAAAUUAUAAAGAUGUUUAUAUAAGAACUACUUUUGUCUUAUAAAUAGUGUACUUGAGCCAGCUAUUUUAAUGUAAAACAAUUUUUCUCUUAUAGUAAUUUUAAAAUUUUAUAUGUUGUUAAUGUCAAUUAUGUACAAAACUGUUGUUGUUUUUUUUUAUUUUAUUUUUUUUAUUUACUUUUUCUGAUAUGAUAUUUGCCAUAAUAUUUGAUAUUUAAAGAGAUUAAAUUUAAACAAAAUGUUAUUGUUUAUUCAUUUAUAUAUUUUUAUCGACUGGUGCCUUGCAUGUUUUAGAACAAAGAAUUUUUCUUUUAUAAACUUCUUGUACAUCCCCUGAAGAAAAAAACCAAGUUUGAUUACUGGGUAGAUAAAUGCAUAUUUUUAUAAUUAUGUAGAAAUUAAGCUGUGUCUUUGGAUAAAAGGGAAAGAUUACCGGUAAAUGUUUUGAACAUUAGUUCUUUCAGUGCCAUACAAAUGGUGCUUUUCUGUAUUACUGUAUGUAUAAUAAUAACUGUUUUUCAGUUAGCAAUAGUUUGAUUUAAGCAGUUCUGAUGUAGUAUGACAUGAUUUUUUAAAGAUCUGCUUGUUAGAUAUUAUUCAGCACAUUGAACACAAUAUGUAUUUCAGAUUUUUAUUAACAAAGAUUUUACAGAAGUCCAUGUCAUAUUCAACAUACUGAGGAAUCAUUAAAAAUCUUUCUGACUCUAUAUAUUUUUCAUACCCAUCAACUAUGAAUUAAAAUUCCCAACAAAUUGUAUUCAUGUGCGUUCAAACAAAUAUACCAAAAUGCAUCCCCAUUAAUCAUUAAAUACAGAACUUAAGAAUGCACAUGAAAAUUAGCCAACAGGAAUAUUAAGGAUUCCACUGUACUUUUGAAUUCUGAUGGUGACCUCACUGAUUCUUGGGGAAUUACUACUAGUAACUUAUUCUCUAGGAUUGACUGCUUUGUGAAAGGAAGGUGUGUGAUAUUGACAAUUUUCCUUAUAAAUCAUUACAUUUUAUUGAAUUUGAAACCUCUUAUCAACUACAAAUAGAAUAAGUGGAAUAAAAGUAAAUUGGGAGGUUCAGCAAACACACUUUUAAGACAUUAACUCUUGAAGCAAAAUGAUUUUCAUUCCCCAUGACUUUAUUACAUGUUGUAAACUUGACAGAUAUAAUGAAUUACGUUCAUAAUGAAGCAAAAAUGACACUUAUAGUGAAGCAAAAAUGACACACACCCCCACCCACCCACCCCCGUAGCACUUUUUUAUAAGCGUAUUUUACUGUAUUUAGCAGGUAUAUGUACAUGUAUCUCAGCGUCUCGAACCGUGGUCCAAAGUCUGCAUUUAUAAACCUCCCAUUUUCUCAAUAUGGGAGAGGAUUGUACAUGUUUGCUGGGAAUUGUGACAAUGCAGAAACUCUUGAAAUCCACAAAUAUUGGUCCCUCGUGAAAUACUAGUACAUGUAUAUGCUAAUUCCAUAUGAGUACUAAAAACUUACUGUGAAUUUACUUAUUAUUGGUGUUUUUUUAAUAUAUUGAUUUUUUGGUACUUCAGUAUUGGAAUGAGUCGCAAAGGAUAUGAUAUCUUGUGAUAUAAAGUAUUUGUGUUAAGAUUUCAAUGAUAAUAUCUUGUAUCAUGUGCCUGUAGUGUUAUGGAAUUAAGAUUUUAUUGUUGAAUACUUGUAUUAGUGGUUGACUGUUGAGUACCAAGUCUUUCAUUCUCAUUCAUUUUUUCAUUGUAAAAAUGACAUAUAUUAAAUCUUU
Long non-coding RNA from Magallana angulata, 2993 nucleotides. RefSeq lists it as uncharacterized. The transcript is spliced from 3 exons. Lineage: Eukaryota; Metazoa; Mollusca; Bivalvia; Ostreida; Ostreidae. The record is from RefSeq and is a predicted model, not a curated record.